GACGAACGCUGGCGGCGUGCUUAACACAUGCAAGUCGAACGGAAAGGCCCUGCUUUUGUGGGGUGCUCGGGUGGCGAACGGGUGAGUAACACGUGAGUAACCUGCCCUUGACUUUGGGAUAACUUCAGGAAACUGGGGCUAAUACCGGAUAGGAGCUCCUGCUGCAUGGUGGGGGUUGGAAAGUUUCGGCGGUUGGGGAUGGACUCGCGGCUUAUCAGCUUGUUGGUGGGGUAGUGGCUUACCAAGGCUUUGACGGGUAGCCGGCCUGAGAGGGUGACCGGCCACAUUGGGACUGAGAUACGGCCCAGACUCCUACGGGAGGCAGCAGUGGGGAAUAUUGCACAAUGGGCGGAAGCCUGAUGCAGCAACGCCGCGUGCGGGAUGACGGCCUUCGGGUUGUAAACCGCUUUCGCCUGUGACGAAGCGUGAGUGACGGUAAUGGGUAAAGAAGCACCGGCUAACUACGUA
Molecule: ribosomal RNA, 468 nt
Filed under: uncultured bacterium
Lineage: Bacteria
Description: partial 16S ribosomal RNA
Rfam family: Bacterial small subunit ribosomal RNA
Source: RNAcentral